RNAcentral lists this transfer RNA (65 nucleotides) under uncultured Muribaculum sp. It matches the Rfam family "tRNA", at positions 5 to 66 of the family's 71-position model. From Rfam's summary of the family: Transfer RNA (tRNA) molecules are approximately 80 nucleotides in length. Their secondary structure includes four short double-helical elements and three loops (D, anti-codon, and T loops). Lineage: Bacteria; Pseudomonadati; Bacteroidota; Bacteroidia; Bacteroidales; Muribaculaceae. The record is from RNAcentral.
GGAUUAGCUCAGUUGGUAGAGCACCGGUCUCCAAAACCGGGUGUCGGGAGUUCGAGUCUCUCAUC